This 2628-nucleotide ribosomal RNA is filed under the name Escherichia coli. RNAcentral's name for it is "bacterial LSU rRNA". It matches the Rfam family "Bacterial large subunit ribosomal RNA". Lineage: Bacteria; Pseudomonadati; Pseudomonadota; Gammaproteobacteria; Enterobacterales; Enterobacteriaceae. The record is from RNAcentral.
CCACUUUGUGAUUCAUGACUGGGGUGAAGUCGUAACAAGGUAACCGUAGGGGAACCUGCGGUUGGAUCACCUCCUUACCUUAAAGANACGNCACACUAUCAUUAACUGAAUCCAUAGGUUAAUGAGGCGAACCGGGGGAACUGAAACAUCUAAGUACCCCGAGGAAAAGAAAUCAACCGAGAUUCCCCCAGUAGCGGCGAGCGAACGGGGAGCAGCCCAGAGCCUGAAUCAGUGUGUGUGUUAGUGGAAGCGUCUGGAAAGGCGCGCGAUACAGGGUGACAGCCCCGUACACAAAAAUGCACAUACUGUGAGCUCGAUGAGUAGGGCGGGACACGUGGUAUCCUGUCUGAAUAUGGGGGGACCAUCCUCCAAGGCUAAAUACUCCUGACUGACCGAUAGUGAACCAGUACCGUGAGGGAAAGGCGAAAAGAACCCCGGCGAGGGGAGUGAAAAAGAACCUGAAACCGUGUACGUACAAGCAGUGGGAGCNGUGACUGNGGGCGUUAAGUUGCAGGGUAUAGACCCGAAACCCGGUGAUCUAGCCAUGGGCAGGUUGAAGGUUGGGUAACACUAACUGGAGGACCGAACCGACUAAUGUUGAAAAAUUAGCGGAUGACUUGUGGCUGGGGGUGAAAGGCCAAUCAAACCGGGAGAUAGCUGGUUCUCCCCGAAAGCUAUUUAGGUAGCGCCUCGUGAAUUCAUCUCCGGGGGUAGAGCACUGUUUCGGCAAGGGGGUCAUCCCGACUUACCAACCCGAUGCAAACUGCGAAUACCGGAGAAUGUUAUCACGGGAGACACACGGCGGGUGCUAACGUCCGUCGUGAAGAGGGAAACAACCCAGACCGCCAGCUAAGGUCCCAAAGUCAUGGUUAAGUGGGAAACGAUGUGGGAAGGCCCAGACAGCCAGGAUGUUGGCUUAGAAGCAGCCAUCAUUUAAAGAAAGCGUAAUAGCUCACUGGUCGAGUCGGCCUGCGCGGAAGAUGUAACGGGGCUAAACCAUGCACCGAAGCUGCGGCAGCGACACUGUGUGUUGUUGGGUAGGGGAGCGUUCUGUAAGCCUGUGAAGGUGUNAUGCUGGAGGUAUCAGAAGUGCGAAUGCUGACAUAAGUAACGAUAAAGCGGGUGAAAAGCCCGCUCGCCGGAAGACCAAGGGUUCCUGUCCAACGUUAAUCGGGGCAGGGUGAGUCGACCCCUAAGGCGAGGCCGAAAGGCGUAGUCGAUGGGAAACAGGUUAAUAUUCCUGUACUUGGUGUUACUGCGAAGGGGGGACGGAGAAGGCUAUGUUGGCCGGGCGACGGUUGUCCCGGUUUAAGCGUGUAGGCUGGUUUUCCAGGCAAAUCCGGAAAAUCAAGGCUGAGGCGUGAUGACGAGGCACUACGGUGCUGAAGCAACAAAUGCCCUGCUUCCAGGAAAAGCCUCUAAGCAUCAGGUAACAUCAAAUCGUACCCCAAACCGACACAGGUGGUCAGGUAGAGAAUACCAAGGCGCUUGAGAGAACUCGGGUGAAGGAACUAGGCAAAAUGGUGCCGUAACUUCGGGAGAAGGCACGCUGAUAUGUAGGUGAAGUCCCUCGCGGAUGGAGCUGAAAUCAGUCGAAGAUACCAGCUGGCUGCAACUGUUUAUUAAAAACACAGCACUGUGCAAACACGAAAGUGGACGUAUACGGUGUGACGCCUGCCCGGUGCCGGAAGGUUAAUUGAUGGGGUCAGCGCAAGCGAAGCUCUUGAUCGAAGCCCCGGUAAACGGCGGCCGUAACUAUAACGGUCCUAAGGUAGCGAAAUUCCUUGUCGGGUAAGUUCCGACCUGCACGAAUGGCGUAAUGAUGGCCAGGCUGUCUCCACCCGAGACUCAGUGAAAUUGAACUCGCUGUGAAGAUGCAGUGUACCCGCGGCAAGACGGAAAGACCCCGUGAACCUUUACUAUAGCUUGACACUGAACAUUGAGCCUUGAUGUGUAGGAUAGGUGGGAGGCUUUGAAGUGUGGACGCCAGUCUGCAUGGAGCCGACCUUGAAAUACCACCCUUUAAUGUUUGAUGUUCUAACGUGGACCCGUGAUCCGGGUUGCGGACAGUGUCUGGUGGGUAGUUUGACUGGGGCGGUCUCCUCCUAAAGAGUAACGGAGGAGCACGAAGGUUGGCUAAUCCUGGUCGGACAUCAGGAGGUUAGUGCAAUGGCAUAAGCCAGCUUGACUGCGAGCGUGACGGCGCGAGCAGGUGCGAAAGCAGGUCAUAGUGAUCCGGUGGUUCUGAAUGGAAGGGCCAUCGCUCAACGGAUAAAAGGUACUCCGGGGAUAACAGGCUGAUACCGCCCAAGAGUUCAUAUCGACGGCGGUGUUUGGCACCUCGAUGUCGGCUCAUCACAUCCUGGGGCUGAAGUAGGUCCCAAGGGUAUGGCUGUUCGCCAUUUAAAGUGGUACGCGAGCUGGGUUUAGAACGUCGUGAGACAGUUCGGUCCCUAUCUGCCGUGGGCGCUGGAGAACUGAGGGGGGCUGCUCCUAGUACGAGAGGACCGGAGUGGACGCAUCACUGGUGUUCGGGUUGUCAUGCCAAUGGCACUGCCCGGUAGCUAAAUGCGGAAGAGAUAAGUGCUGAAAGCAUCUAAGCACGAAACUUGCCCCGAGAUGAGUUCU